Long non-coding RNA from Anopheles funestus (African malaria mosquito), 2188 nucleotides. RefSeq lists it as uncharacterized. The transcript has 2 exons. NCBI's taxonomy places the organism in Eukaryota, Metazoa, Arthropoda, Insecta, Diptera, Culicidae. The record is from RefSeq and is a predicted model, not a curated record.
GAUAUUUUUUGUAUUUUUGGCUUGCAUUACAUGUUACUUUAAGUAAGGAAUAUUUCAUUUUAACAUAAAAACUGCAUAUUUUCAACUUAUUACUUUGAUCUUGAUAAUUUUCUAAUCUCCCACAUUAAUGUGAAUUUAUUAUCUAGAAACUACGGUGGAGAACUUGAACUGAAGUUGGUCAUAUUUCUAUCAAUUACCUGCUUUCGUUCCCAACCAUCGAAAGUAAGCAAUUUUAAGAAUUUUCAUGCACUGUAUUAUAGUAUACGGAACACACAAGGUAACUCACUAACUAGUGCCAACAGUGUUAGGAAAGUUAGAAAAAAGAGUUGGUUCUACUUAAACCAAGCGAUAGCAAGAAGGUGAAAACAUAAAAGGGUGCCACAUUCCAUUACUCUAUUGAGUUAUAAAUUGAUCCCAUUACGGAAACGUUUUAAAUUCCUUUGCCGAGUACCCCGAAAUUCCAGGGCAAAUCUAUCACUUCCCAAUCGACCUUAAGAUCGAAGCCCCGAUUGAAAGCGGUCCUUGCGUACGCACCAAGGCUAUGGCGCUUGUUCCAAGGUGUCCGGAGCGCUGUUCUUCCCGUUCUUGACAUUGAUUUUUACUAUUUUUCAACGUCUUGAAACAUCCAUCCACUUCAUCCAGGCGACCAACGACUUGGCUCUUGAGCAGGAAGCCAAUGCAGCAAACUUGACGAUCGAACAGCACCGCAUGGUUGAUCAAAGGAAUUUAUGUCUUCCGAACAUUGGUGCGAAUGUCGAAUGGCAGGGUAAUAAUAAUGGUACAAUGUGAAGGUGAAGGUGAGAAUGUAGGUAGAGAAAAUAAAAAAUGAAAUGAAAAAACUCGCAUAUUUUUCCUCAUCAUGGCACGUUUCUUGGCUCGUUUCUUCACGAAUACCAACCGUACGGACGGCUCCAACAUGGCAUGGCUCUAUCCUCUAUCAAGCCGAACUGAAACAUUUCCCCCAUUGGCAUUCUCAUUCGAAGGCUCACUGUCUCGUCCCAUCUUUAAUUCAAUCGCUAGUCAGGUGUGAAAAUUGGUCGGAAACCUUGUAAAUUUUACUUCAGAACCAAACCCUGCAUCAUUUCCGCCACCAAUGCGACCCGAGUGUCUAUUUUAUAGCCGCUUCUGGUUGGCCUAUCGAACGAAAACGGGAAGGGAGUAAUGUCUGUGGGCGGGAAGCGGAGGGUGAGGAGGAAGAGAUGGCAAUGUAGAGAGAGGAAGCACGGGUCUCAACCACUGAAGACUCACUUUUCACUGUGCGAAAUACAUUUCAUCCAGGGAGGCUGUGGGUUUAGUCUGAGAUUGAAUUUAUUUCACGCUUUCCUCAUUUCCAAUUUUCCUACAAACCUUGUCAUUCGGCAGUGCGUUGACAGUCGUCUGCCUUGUUGAAAAGAAGAAUGGUCGGUGACGAAAAAGUAGACUAUACGGGAAAUGAAAUGAAAAAACCGAACGCUGCCAACUGAUAAACGAACAAAUGGCGUACAAGCGCUGUGCGACGAACCGCAAUAAAGGAACGAAAAACGAACUGUCAUAAAUUCAGCACGCAGUUGUGAUUAUUCCAACAGGUUCCCACUCUGACAAGUACUGCUUUGAUAUUGAUCAUUUGUGGUGCUAAAACCCCGUAAUGUUCUUCCCCGCACGAGACGAACCGGUUCAUGGAAAUAGUACGAACAGGGUGAUGAUACCGGGACAAAAAAGAACAUCGUCCUACAGUAACACUAUACAGCAUCAUGUUAGCUUCGUUUGUUGGUUCCGGAAAAAGAUUCAACAUUUUCCGGUCGAAGGAGUUUUUCCGUGCUUGCUGGGCGGUAGUGAUUCGAUCAGAAUCAUCGUUCUCGUGUCUUUCGCUUACGCAUGGGAACACUUCAGUGCGUUGAAGCACAUUACAGCGCUGAUAGACGAAAGAUGUGUGGCAGCAAAAUACGGGUGCGGUCUGGGGUGCAGAGAAGCGGCGGCACCAAAGAGACGGAAAGCCAAGAGUGCGUGAGAAGACUAGAGUAACGAGCGGACGCAAAUGAUUCGAUGAACGAAGAACCCAUUUUGAGCCAGGGAGGAGGGUCUUACCACCGCUGCAAAAAAAAACCCGUCCUACUCCGGAGCAACCCACAGUCCUACAUAGUCCUUGGGAUCGAACUUGUCGUCGUACUGCUCGUCAAAAGGAAGGGAUAAAUUUAGCUCAUUAACUCAA